CAUCAGAAUUAUGAAAAUGUCCAAACUCAACCAAAAGUUCAUUAACAUUCAGCGUAGUCACUUCAAUUAAAGAAAACUCUUAAUUUUUCCAUCUUGCACUUGAAAUGUGGACUAAAACUGGAAUAUAAAUGUGACUAUAUUUUAUAAUGAUUUAAUGUGACAAUCUUUCUAUUUGCAAAUUGUCUAGCAAAGGGCCACAAACAUCAGUUCAUAAUAUGCACAUUCAAAAACAUACCAUAACAAUUUGCAGGAUGCUUUUUAAUUACCUGGCAAAAGACACAUGGAGAUUUCUUACAUGAUUCAUUUUUUUACAUGUGUUGCCAGUUCUGAACUACUGGUAAUUUGAAUUUUUAAAUUCUUCUUUGGGAUAUUUGCUAAAAUCUGUCAAGAAGCUCCAGCAAAGCUUCCCUUUAUUUCCAAACCACUUCAGGUGAGCUGCCUUUUCCUGCUGAUGGGAUAAAUGUGCUGAGCAUUUUCAGCUGGAUAUCAGAUGAAACUAACCAAAACCAGGUCCUUAAGGCCCAGAUUUUCAGAGCACUUAAUGCUAAUAACUGAAGCCUAAUGUGGUUGAAGCUGCUGGGGCACUGUGUCCCUGAAAACCUGAAACUAGGUUUUGUAUCAGAUGUUGCCAGUAUGUCCUACAUUUACAUGUGUCUCUGACCAAAGUUUUUGAAGCUCUUGAAAACUUUGGGUUUGUCUUGUUAGUGUUUUCUUGCUGUUCAUUUUUAUUUUUUAAUUAUACACUGGAUGGAUCUCAAAGUGACAGCACUGGCUAUUAAUAAUAUUCAGAUGUUGUUUAUUUAAAAACAAAACAACAACAAGAAAACCAGAUCGCUUUACUAUCUAUUUGCAAAAGUAAGCAGGAACAACUUGACAUGCAUGAUUCCUAAUGUAGAAAGUUUCAGAAAGUCUCCUUAACAGAGGCAGUACAUUGUAAGGUCUAAGAAUGUAUUGCAGGGCAUCCUUAAAUGAGAUUCAGAGUCUUGUGGAAAUUGCCCAUUUUUUUUUAAAUUGCUGGAUAUGCU
Molecule: long non-coding RNA, 1025 nt
Filed under: Anas platyrhynchos platyrhynchos (common mallard)
Lineage: Eukaryota; Metazoa; Chordata; Aves; Anseriformes; Anatidae
Description: lncRNA (ENSAPLG00000020433.1)
Source: RNAcentral